RNAcentral lists this unclassified non-coding RNA (432 nucleotides) under soil metagenome. RNAcentral's name for it is "partial contains 5.8S ribosomal RNA, internal transcribed spacer 2, and large subunit ribosomal RNA". The stretch from base 1 to 120 matches the Rfam family "5.8S ribosomal RNA", at positions 35 to 154 of the family's 154-position model. The record is from RNAcentral.
GAUGAAGAACGCAGCGAAAUGCGAUACGUAAUGUGAAUUGCAGAAUUCAGUGAAUCAUCGAAUCUUUGAACGCAUAUUGCGCUCUCUGGUAUUCCGGAGAGCAUGCUUGUUUGAGUAUCAGUAAACACCUCAACUUCCAUAUCUUUUUUUGAAAUGGGAGUUGGACUUGAGUGAUCCCAACGCUUUUCCUCACCGAAAAGUGGCGGGUUACUUGAAAUGCAGGUGCAGCUGGACUUUUCUCUGAGCUAUAAGCAUAUCUAUUUAGUCUGCCUAAAAAACAGAUUAUUACCUUUGCUGCAGCUAACAUAAAGGAGAUUAGUUCUUGUGCUGACUGAUGCGGGAUUCACAAAGACAGCUUCGGCCGACUUUGUAAACUCGAUCUCAAAUCAAGUAAGACUACCCGCUGAACUUAAGCAUAUCAAUAGCGGAGGA